GAAGAUCAUCGUUAUGAUCACUUAAAACAGAAGUCCACCGCCAGAAUCUGGUGCAUACCCGGAUAAACCGUCGACGCCAACGUACCACGAGCAGCGUGUGUAAUUACCGCUAUGGAUGAUCUAAAUAAGGACCAGAUAGCCCUGUUGAAGAAGGCUUUCAGUGCCUUCGAUCACGAAAAGAAAGGUAGUAUCGGUACGAACAUGGUAGGCACGAUAUUGACUAUGUUGGGUUACGAGCUCAGCGAAAAGACGCUGCAGGAAAUCAUUAAGGAAGUCGACGAGGACGGUUCUGGAGAACUCGAGUUUGAAGAAUUCUGCACGCUAGCUGCUAGAUUCUUGGUAGAGGAGGAUUCGGAAGCGAUGCAGCAAGAAUUACGCGAGGCAUUCCGGUUGUAUGACAAAGAGGGCAACGGCUACAUAACUACCGCGGUUUUCCGCGAUAUCCUUCACGAACUCGACGACAAGCUGUCGCCGGAAGAACUCGAUCUAAUGAUCGAAGAGAUCGACGCUGAUGGCUCAGGAACGCUCGAUUUUGACGAGUUUAUGGAAGUGAUGACGGGCGGCGACGAUUAGGGCAAAGCGGAGCCGAUAAUGAAGAUGGGCACUCGGAGGCUGGUUGUUAGCCGCGCAAUUGGCAACGCCCGUCAGAGAGAUAGAAAGAGUGUUCCUUCUCCAGGCGCGCGCUUUUGCAAACCACGGCCGAACGGAAAAUUGGACGUUUAUAAUCAUCCGUAUAAUUGUUGGCUGACUUUCAUCGUGAGAUGAAGAUCACGAUGUUUUCCAAACGCUUCUAAUAAUCGAUGAUGCGAAAAGCAAUGAAAAUUCCGGAUUGCCUCGAAUAAAACGGAAUAGCGUUUGUGCAAAGUAAAGUAGCAAAUUUCUUCGCAGCAAAGUGAGUACGCGCGCAAAGUUCUAGUGCAAUUUUCUCUAGAUUAUUACGUCGCAAAGAAAGUUAUAAUUUCACUCCAAAAAAUUUAGAGAGUAAAUCAUACGUAAUAAGUUAUUAAGUGAUAUUAUUGAUAUGCCUACAUAAAUUAUAAGUUAUUUCUUCUUACGCGUGAGUGUCUUGCCCCUGAACGAUAUUUCCCGUUGCACAAAGUAGCGCAUUGCGUUCAAGUAUGCAAGGCGUAUACUAUUUCCUUCGUAAGUCUUAAUCAAUACAACCGAUUUUAUAACUUUAUAAUCAACACGAGAUUAUUUCAAGAAAUUGUAACUUUCUUUCACCUUUUGAAAUAUUAUUUAUGCAAUAACGCGACUCAGUAAUCAGAUUCCGAAUAAUUGUAACUGUAUUAUUAAACAUAUUAAGUAAUUUAGUAA
Molecule: RNA transcript, 1317 nt
Organism: Wasmannia auropunctata (little fire ant)
Lineage: Eukaryota; Metazoa; Arthropoda; Insecta; Hymenoptera; Formicidae
Gene name: troponin C, isoform 1-like
Exons: 6
Source: RefSeq, a predicted model, not a curated record